Molecule: ribosomal RNA, 253 nt
Filed under: uncultured bacterium
Lineage: Bacteria
Description: partial 16S ribosomal RNA
Rfam family: Bacterial small subunit ribosomal RNA
Source: RNAcentral
UACGUAGGGGGCUAGCGUUGUCCGGAAUUAUUGGGCGUAAAGAGUUCGUAGGCGGUCUGUCGCGUCGGCUGUGAAAUCCCGAGGCUCAACCUCGGGUCUGCAGUCGAUACGGGCAAACUAGAGUAUUGCAGGGGAGACUGGAAUUCCUUGUGUAGCGGUGAAAUGCGCAGAUAUCAGGAGGAACACCGGUGGCGAAGGCGGGUCUCUGGGCAAUAACUGACGCUGAGGAGCGAAAGCGUGGGGAGCGAACAGG